Molecule: ribosomal RNA, 1343 nt
Filed under: uncultured bacterium
Lineage: Bacteria
Description: 16S ribosomal RNA
Rfam family: Bacterial small subunit ribosomal RNA
Source: RNAcentral
GACGAACGUUUGCGGCGUGCUUAACACAUGCAAGUCGAACGGAAAGGCCCUGCUUUUGUGGGGUGCUCGAGUGGCGAACGGGUGAGUAACACGUGAGUAACCUGCCCUUGACUUUGGGAUAACUUCAGGAAACUGGGGCUAAUACCGGAUAGGAGCUCCUGCUGCAUGGUGGGGGUUGGAAAGUUUCGGCGGUUGGGGAUGGACUCGCGGCUUAUCAGCUUGUUGGUGGGGUAGUGGCUUACCAAGGCUUUGACGGGUAGCCGGCCUGAGAGGGUGACCGGCCACAUUGGGACUGAGAUACGGCCCAGACUCCUACGGGAGGCAGCAGUGGGGAAUAUUGCACAAUGGGCGGAAGCCUGAUGCAGCAACGCCGCGUGCGGGAUGACGGCCUUCGGGUUGUAAACCGCUUUCGCCUGUGACGAGGCGUGAGUGACGGUAAUGGGUAAAGAAGCACCGGCUAACUACGUGCCAGCAGCCGCGGUGAUACGUAGGGUGCGAGCGUUGUCCGGAUUUAUUGGGCGUAAAGGGCUCGUAGGUGGUUGAUCGCGUCGGAAGUGUAAUCUUGGGGCUUAACCCUGAGCGUGCUUUCGAUACGGGUUGACUUGAGGAAGGUAGGGGAGAAUGGAAUUCCUGGUGGAGCGGUGGAAUGCGCAGAUAUCAGGAGGAACACCAGUGGCGAAGGCGGUUCUCUGGGCCUUUCCUGACGCUGAGGAGCGAAAGCGUGGGGAGCGAACAGGCUUAGAUACCCUGGUAGUCCACGCUGUAAACGGUGGGUACUAGGUGUGGGGUCCAUUCCACGGGUUCCGUGCCGUAGCUAACGCUUUAAGUACCCCGCCUGGGGAGUACGGCCGCAAGGCUAAAACUCAAAGGAAUUGACGGGGCCCCGCACAAGCGGCGGAGCAUGCGGAUUAAUUCGAUGCAACGCGUAGAACCUUACCUGGGUUUGACAUGGAUCGGGAGUGCUCAGAGAUGGGUGUGCCUCUUUUGGGGUCGGUUCACAGGUGGUGCAUGGCUGUCGUCAGCUCGUGUCGUGAGAUGUUGGGUUAAGUCCCGCAACGAGCGCAACCCUUGUUCACUGUUGCCAGCACGUUAUGGUGGGGACUCAGUGGAGACCGCCGGGGUCAACUCGGAGGAAGGUGGGGAUGACGUCAAGUCAUCAUGCCCCUUAUGUCCAGGGCUUCACGCAUGCUACAAUGGCUGGUACAGAGAGUGGCGAGCCUGUGAGGGUGAGCGAAUCUCGGAAAGCCGGUCUCAGUUCGGAUUGGGGUCUGCAACUCGACCUCAUGAAGUCGGAGUCGCUAGUAAUCGCAGAUCAGCAACGCUGCGGUGAAUACGUUCCCGGG